Molecule: non-coding RNA, 1799 nt
Organism: Phascolarctos cinereus (koala)
Lineage: Eukaryota; Metazoa; Chordata; Mammalia; Diprotodontia; Phascolarctidae
Source: RefSeq, a predicted model, not a curated record
GAGAGUCACCAACUACUGCUCCUCUUCUCUUCUCCCUUUGACCCCCGGAUUAUAACUUCUGUGACUCUACUAUAUUAUUCUUUGGAUGACAAGGAAUUGCUCUUCUUCCUCAGAGCCUCCAGCUUCCUCUCUCUUCAGAAAGGGAGGGAGCUUCACCUAACCUGUGGAGCACAGUUCCUUGAUUAUGGCAGAAAUACAAGGAACAGCACACUGAAUAAUUAUGGCAUCUCAAGGUUGGAAGGAACCUCGGAGAACAUCUCUCAAACCUGGACCUGAACAAGAAUCCUGUCUCCAUCAUACCUGUCAAGUGGUCAUCACUAGCUUUUGUCUCAAGCCUCUCCUCCACCUUCUCCUAGCAGUGCAUUUUACUUUUGAAUAGUUUUAAUCAUUGCAAAUUCUUAUCUUAUAUAAAACCUAAAUUUGGCCCUUUAAAGCUUCUAUCCAUUGUUUUUAGCUUAGUCCUCUGGGGCUAACUGGAGAAAGUUUAAUUCUUCUUUCAUGUGCUACCCCCUGAAGUACUUGAAGACAGCUAUCAUGCCUCCCUACGAGGCUUCUGUUGGCUAAUCGAUCCUUAUAUGGCAUGAAAUAAGGAGGUCAUUCUGGUUGCCCUCCUCGGUAUCCAGUGGUUUUUUUUUCUUUCAAUAUUGAAGUAUUUGCCCAACAUCUGUUGCAUGCACACACUAUGAAAAGGUCAGGUUGUAGAGGGAAGCCAACAAUGCCUCUUAAAAAUCUGGGACCAGAGCCAUUUGCAGAAAUUUGUACAAGUCCAGCCUCAGAGAUGGUCAUGGGGCACAUAAUAAUAUGCAAGCCAACCAGAAUUUAAUACUGGAAGAGGAGGCCUCUCUAGUUCUCUGUUUUUAUCCAUGUCACUGGUUAAGCUAUAUAUAGUACAGCAUCACACAAGCUAGUGUUAGCUUUGACUAGUUGUUUGGACUGGUCCUGGGUUAUAGGCCAGUAUAUCAGUGACAGGGAACUCUAAACCUGAAGCUUCAUGGUGUAGUGGAAAGAGUACUGGAUUUGGAGUCUAAAGGACCUGGGUUCAGGUCCUGAUUUUGCUAUUUGUGACCCCUGUACAAAUUAUUUAAACUCUCUGCACCCUAGUUCCUCUGUAAAACCAGGGGGUUGGACUCUUUCAGCUAUAGAUCUGUGAUACUGGGAAUGAUGAGACUUCUUCCCUCUGUUGAUUCAACAAAAGAUCAAGUUGGAAGUAUCUGAGGAUGCUGACUGGGUACUGCUGCUGUGGAAAUGUCAAAGCCAGAGCAGAUGUUUGAAAAUCCUUCGACUUAGGCUUAGUAUUGUAUUACCUUGAAAGGCUCCUCUGGGUUUGCAACCCUUUCCAAUAGUCUUUAACUGGAUUUAGGGCCAGAGGACGUCGGUUUGCAUCCUGGCUCUGACUCUCAUGACCUGUCUGACCUUGGGCAAAGCACCUUUUCCCUCUGGGCCUCAGUUGCCUUCACAAAAUGAAGGUCUUGGCCUAGAUGAUUUCUAAGGCCUCUUUUAGGUCUAAAUCUAUGAUCCUAUAAUCUGGUCUGCUCAACUCUAGUUUCCCUCCUUCACCAAAACGUUCUUUCCACCAAGGAGAGGUUAAUCUUUAUGGAUGCUUCUGAUCACAUUACUUUUCUGCUCACAUUCCUUUGAUGACUCAUUUUUGUUUACCAAACACCCCUUUGAUGGCUUCCUUUUGUUUACCAAAUAAAAUCCAAAUUCUUUAGCUUCCCAUUCAAAGUCCUCUGUAAUUUUCCAACUUCUUAAAUUUCCAGCCUUAUCUUGCAUUAAUUAAUCUUUUCCCCUUGUACAUG